AUUGCUUCUCAGCCUUUUGGCUAAGAUCAAGUGUAGUAUUUGUUUUUUUAUCAGUUUAAUAUCUGAUACAUCCUCUAUCAGAGGACAAUAUAUUACAUUUAUUUUUGGAGCAGAGAGAUGGAAUAGGAGCUUUCUCUGUCCACUCUGCACAUCAACCCGUAUUGCAGUACUUCUGGGAACGAUGCACCAAAA
Small nuclear RNA from Molossus molossus (Pallas's mastiff bat), 192 nucleotides. RefSeq annotates it as U2 spliceosomal RNA. The record is from RefSeq and is a predicted model, not a curated record. The transcript has a single exon. Lineage: Eukaryota; Metazoa; Chordata; Mammalia; Chiroptera; Molossidae.